This 199-nucleotide ribosomal RNA is filed under the name uncultured bacterium. RNAcentral describes it as "partial 16S ribosomal RNA". It matches the Rfam family "Bacterial small subunit ribosomal RNA", at positions 328 to 539 of the family's 1533-position model. The record is from RNAcentral.
ACGCUCGACACCUACGGGAGGCUGCAGUGGGGAAUAUUGCACAAUGGGGGAAACCCUGAUGCAGCGACGCCGCGUGAGUGAAGAAGUAUUUCGGUAUGUAAAGCUCUAUCAGCAGGGAAGAAGAUGACGGUACCUGAGUAAGAAGCCCCGGCUAACUACGUGCCAGCAGCCGACGGUAAUCUGAGCGGGCUGGCAAGGC